RNAcentral lists this long non-coding RNA (587 nucleotides) under Physcomitrium patens. RNAcentral's name for it is "long non-coding RNA (PPAT_LNC002006)". Lineage: Eukaryota; Viridiplantae; Streptophyta; Bryopsida; Funariales; Funariaceae. The record is from RNAcentral.
UAUUAGAAUAAUUAAAAAUUUAUCUUAAAUAAAUUUCAACUAAGAUUUAAUUUAAUUCUACUUGAAAUCCUAAUGAACUUCAAUCAAAUCCUAGAUCCUAAAUCAAAACUUAAAUCAAAUCCUAGACAAAUCUUAAAUUCUAAAUCAAACUAUAGAUAAAAUCUUAAAUCCUAAACUAAAUCCUAAAUCAAAUUCUAAAUAAAACCUAAAUCCUAAAUCCUAAAAAAAUCCUAAAUCUUAAAUCAAAUCCUAAAUAAAUCCUAAAUCCUAAACCAAAUCAUAGAAAAAUCCUAAAUUCUAAAUCAAAUCUUAAAUAAAACCUAAAUCCUAAACUAAAUACUAGUCAAACUCUAAAUCCUAAAUCAAAUUCUAGACCAAAUCCUACCUCUAAACGAAAUCCUAAUCAAAUCCUAAUCAAUUCAAUCUAAUCCUAAUAUUAUUUAGAACUUUGAUAUCUAUCAAUCAAAUCAUUGAUUUUGCCUAAAAAUUUUCAUACUUUUCAAAAACUAAGUUAGCAACAAGCAUACAAAAAUUGAAGAUAAUUACACUUAUCAAAUAGAAGAAAAACCCUAAAAUAUGCUUAGGUA